AUCCUGCCCCAAAUAAUGAUGGAAAUAAGGCCUCCGGCGCGCAGAGCAGUGAAGACAAGGCAUCAGAAGACCAUGUAGUUGGAUUUUUCUCUGCUCGGGCUGCAGAAGCUCUAAUAAACGAUCCCCAUACUGCUGUAAAAUCAGCACCAGUAU
This 153-nucleotide small nucleolar RNA is filed under the name Trichophyton rubrum BMU01672. RNAcentral describes it as "CD-box snoRNA". Lineage: Eukaryota; Fungi; Ascomycota; Eurotiomycetes; Onygenales; Arthrodermataceae. The record is from RNAcentral.